Molecule: long non-coding RNA, 2436 nt
Filed under: Fukomys damarensis (Damara mole-rat)
Lineage: Eukaryota; Metazoa; Chordata; Mammalia; Rodentia; Bathyergidae
Description: lncRNA (ENSFDAG00000028660.1)
Source: RNAcentral
CUCGCCGGCUCUCUGCCUCCGCCCCCACCCGCCCCUCCCUCCUGUCUCUGCCACCGCUGGCUGGGCUCGGUUGCUACCUCUCCUCGCAGAAGCAACGAGGUGAGGCUUGUGUGCGGCGCCAGCUGAGAGGAGGGGAAAACGAAGCCGUGUGCCCCAGGUGGGAAGCAGCCGGCACUUGGUUCCAGCUUGGUCUUCGAGAUUCCCUAAAACCGUGUGUAAAUAUAUCUCUUCUAAAAGCCGAAAGCAAGCAAAGCAAAUUCUCGGCUGCUGCCAGGUGUUGUCUUCCGCCGUUGCUCAGCACCCGCAGCGACUGCUGCCCCCUUGGCUCAGUUCCCAAAGGGGUGGUGCUGGAAGGGAGGUGUCAGGGUGCUGAGCCGACGGUCCGAGGACUGGAAACAAGCUUCCCCUAGCGGAGUAGGCUACCAGCUAUCUCCGCCUCCGCGGCCGCGGCCGCCUCUGCUGCAUUCAGCACCCGGCAAGUAUCAGUGUGGAUGGUACUGUUUGCAGGAUUUCUGCCCACUCUACAUUAUCACCGCUGCAGUCAACGCACACACAGACAUCCACCUCUCCCCCGGAGUCCAUUUCGAUGCUCAUAUAAACAUUUGGAGUAGCUAUCAGUCUGCAAGCUCGAAAGAGAAAGUUUUUGUGAGUUGCACGGAAGCUAAGAAUUGAUGGAGACUAAGUCCCUCAAGAAUAAGACCUCGUGGGAGAAAGGAAUGCUUCACACCUUCAAGCAGAGAGGACCAUGCUAGUACUGUUUCUGACAAUUUCUCCCUUUAGAAUUUAAACUCCCGAGGGCAGAGUAUUUUGUUGUUUGUUAAGAUGAUUGGUUUUGCUCUAUUUUGGUCCUAUCUGGCUAAAUCAAAGGCAGGUAGUGAAAUAAAUCUUUGUUAAAUGGCUUGUGGCCACCAUCACCAUAGUCAUCAUCACACCAAGUCUAGUCUUCUUACAAUUGUGAGUCAUAAGAAUCCAGAAAAAUAUUGCAUCCUUGUCUUAAGCAGUACCCCGCAUCGUCCAAGUCAUUCACUGAGCAACUGCCAAGGAGUAAUCUGAAAUGGAUUUUAAUUUCCUCUCCUAUUUCUGCUUCUGAAUCAUGUCACCUUACCUUAUCUUUCUCAAGGAGUUUAUAGUAAGCAGAAAAGUAUCCGUCAAUGCAAACGGCUAGAAAAGAAAGAAACUUAAAGUAAGCUGCAUAAAUAUUUAGUAUUCUCAGCUGUGGACUUUGAUCAUUUAAAACAUAGAAUUACUUUCUCUCUCUUUUUCUUUUCUAUUUUGGUUUUUUGAGACAGGGUCUCACUAUGUAGUUGAGACUGACCUGGAACUCACUAUGUAGCCCGGGCUGGUCUUGAACUCACAGGGAUCCUCCCGAGUGCUGGGAUUACAGGUAUGAGCCACCACGCCCAGCCUCUUACUUUUUCUCAUAAAUGCCUCACUCACUGAAUGCACACACACACACACACACACACACACAGACACUUCUAGGGUCAUAGAUUUCAAGAAGGCAUUCCAAUGAGUCAUCUAAACAGUUGUGCCAAUUCCUUUAGAAAUACUGGAGCCAUAGACAGAAUAGCUGCAAAAUCUCUGGACCAAAAUAUCACUGGGAUGAAGUUCAGCCAAUGAAUCAUAAGAAAACUACCCCUUUGCUGACAUCUCCAUGAAUGAUUCAUUCCUAUAAGCUCUAAAGAGAAAGGACCUGCAUCUUGAUCUUGAUUAACCCAGCAUGGCUAUGCAUCUGAGUCAUGCCCCAGCAUGAUUCUGAGACCCUAUGGAUUCUGAGACCCUGCCCAAGGUGAAUGGUUUGAAAAUGACACUGAUGCUUUUAAUACUCCAAAAUAAUACUUAAAUUAUUGGUAUAUGCAUGAACACUGUGCUGAAAAGGGAACUUUAUUUAAAAUCUGUAUUGUACAUCACCCUGUGUCUGCUUCUGACAUUGUGCAAAUUGCUUUCUAUAGAAAUUAUCUCAUCAUCCAUUCAUCCCUCUUCAUAUGACUCAGAGCUCCUUGAAGAACCCAUAUUUAUAUUUGUAUGAGUAGCACAGGACACAGUACCUGAAGUUCAGUGUGUGAUCAAGAAAAUGCUUCUAAAUGAAGGAAUAUUUUUUGGCCUCAGUAAAGCUAAAUAUUUCUCUUCUUCAGUCUAGACACAUUUAUGUGAAUGCUUUCAUAUGUGACUGAAGAUUUACUUCAUCCAAAAUUGAGUUUUAGCAUUUUAUGCUGAUAAAAUGCUUGAUCCAACUAUGUUGUCAAGUAAAUGAGCAGAAAAUAGAAAGGCCAUAUGAAGCCUAUAUUGAGAGGCAUAGAAAUAGGUGAUGCCCCCUUCCAUGGAAAGUGAAAAGAUUUCCAUAAACAGAAAGCUGCUAAGAAUGUGAAAAGACAGUAGGAUUAUCUUUGGAAAGAUUGAGAGGCUUGGGAGUUCUGUUUUGAAUGUAAUAAAAAA